This 251-nucleotide long non-coding RNA is filed under the name Gossypium barbadense (sea-island cotton). RNAcentral describes it as "long non-coding RNA (GBAR_LNC001260)". Lineage: Eukaryota; Viridiplantae; Streptophyta; Magnoliopsida; Malvales; Malvaceae. The record is from RNAcentral.
UUUGUCGAAUUAGGGUUAGCCACCUAGAGCCUUCACUUUCAUUCUAUUCUCUUCUCAGUAUCUCAAAAAGCCGAAAAAUGCAAAGUUAGAUCUCCUGAGUGUCGAAUUCUUCCUUCUCUUCUCCUCUCUUCUUCUAUUUUCUUUUUCUCUUUCUUUUCUUCUCUAGCCGAAACAUUCCUACCAUUCUACUCAUCUCCUCUUUCAUUCCCAUUCUUUUCUAAACCUCUAUAGCUGAUUGCCAUAAAAGCCGA